Molecule: long non-coding RNA, 565 nt
Organism: Passer domesticus (house sparrow)
Lineage: Eukaryota; Metazoa; Chordata; Aves; Passeriformes; Passeridae
Exons: 4
Source: RefSeq, a predicted model, not a curated record
AUUUAGCACAUCAAAUACACCUGCCAAAGCAGUGAGGGGGGAAAAAAGAGCUAGGAAAAAUGGAAAAGAGGCUUAAAAGCUGUUCUGUAUGAAAUCAGCCAGUGAAAGUUCCACAUUUGCCAGAUGUUCAGCUGAGUAAAACCCUCAGUAAAGAUUUUUGGAAGGUCACCUCCUGGAGAACCAGCUUUUCCCCUGCCAUCCAAAUCGAGGACAAGGAGCUGGACUUCAAAUGCAUCUCGAGGAUCCCCCCCAGCUCAGGAUAUUCUGUGAGUGAUGCACAGAGGAAUGGAAGAACUGACCAGCCAGGGAGGCAGUGCCAUUAGAAGCUGCUCUCAUUUAAUCCCUGCCAGUGAGAUUGACCAAAGACAGAAUCACAGGAUCACAGCAUCUUAGAAUGGUUUGAAUUGGAAACAACCUUAAAGAUGACCUGGUUCCAUCCCCCCUGCCAUGGCAGCUGGCAUUUAGUGGAGGAGUGUUAGCUCCAUCCCAGUACUCUGCCAGACACAGCUCUGACCAUCUGACUUAAAAGGACCUGGAAAACAGACUGGGAAUGCCCGGGAGAAAA